AUUGAACGCUGGCGGCAGGCCUAACACAUGCAAGUCGAGCGGAUGAGGGGGGCUUGCUCCCUGAUUUAGCGGCAGACGGGUGAGUAAUGCCUAGGAAUCUGCCUGGUAGUGGGGGAUAACGUUCCGAAAGGAACGCUAAUACCGCAUACGUCCUACGGGAGAAAGCAGGGGACCUUCGGGCCUUGCGCUAUCAGAUGAGCCUAGGUCGGAUUAGCUAGUUGGUGAGGUAAUGGCUCACCAAGGCGACGAUCCGUAACUGGUCUGAGAGGAUGAUCAGUCACACUGGAACUGAGACACGGUCCAGACUCCUACGGGAGGCAGCAGUGGGGAAUAUUGGACAAUGGGCGAAAGCCUGAUCCAGCCAUGCCGCGUGUGUGAAGAAGGUCUUCGGAUUGUAAAGCACUUUAAGUUGGGAGGAAGGGCAUUAACCUAAUACGUUAGUGUUUUGACGUUACCAACAGAAUAAGCACCGGCUAACUUCGUGCCAGCAGCCGCGGUAAUACGAAGGGUGCAAGCGUUAAUCGGAAUUACUGGGCGUAAAGCGCGCGUAGGUGGUUCGUUAAGUUGGAUGUGAAAGCCCCGGGCUCAACCUGGGAACUGCAUCCAAAACUGGCGAGCUAGAGUACGGUAGAGGGUGGUGGAAUUUCCUGUGUAGCGGUGAAAUGCGUAGAUAUAGGAAGGAACACCAGUGGCGAAGGCGACCACCUGGACUGAUACUGACACUGAGGUGCGAAAGCGUUGGGAGCAAACAGGAUUAGAUACCCUGGUAGUCCACGCCGUAAACGAUGUCAACUAGCCGUUGGAAUCCUUGAGAUUUUAGUGGCGCAGCUAACGCAUUAAGUUGACCGCUGGGGAGUACGGCCGCAAGGUUAAAACUCAAAUGAAUUGACGGGGGCCCGCACAAGCGGUGGAGCAUGUGGUUUAAUUCGAAGCAACGCGAAGAACCUUACCUGGCCUUGACAUGCUGAGAACUUUCCAGAGAUGGAUUGGUGCCUUCGGGAACUCAGACACAGGUGCUGCAUGGCUGUCGUCAGCUCGUGUCGUGAGAUGUUGGGUUAAGUCCCGUAACGAGCGCAACCCUUGUCCUUAGUUACCAGCACCUCGGGUGGGCACUCUAAGGAGACUGCCGGUGACAAACCGGAGGAAGGUGGGGAUGACGUCAAGUCAUCAUGGCCCUUACGGCCAGGGCUACACACGUGCUACAAUGGUCGGUACAAAGGGUUGCCAAGCCGCGAGGUGGAGCUAAUCCCAUAAAACCGAUCGUAGUCCGGAUCGCAGUCUGCAACUCGACUGCGUGAAGUCGGAAUCGCUAGUAAUCGUGAAUCAGAAUGUCACGGUGAAUACGUUCCCGGGCCUUGUACACACCGCCCGUCACACCAUGGGAGUGGGUUGCUCCAGAAGUAGCUAGUCUAACCUUCGGGGGGACGGUUACCACGGAGUGAUUCAUGACUGGGGUGA
RNAcentral lists this ribosomal RNA (1458 nucleotides) under Pseudomonas sp. SMCC B0252. RNAcentral's name for it is "bacterial SSU rRNA". It matches the Rfam family "Bacterial small subunit ribosomal RNA". Lineage: Bacteria; Pseudomonadati; Pseudomonadota; Gammaproteobacteria; Pseudomonadales; Pseudomonadaceae. The record is from RNAcentral.